CCUACGGGAGGCAGCAGGGGGGAAUAUUGCGCAAUGGGCGAAAGCCUGACGCAGCGACGCCGCGUGAGGGAUGAAGGUCUUCGGAACGUAAAACUCUGUCAGCAGGGAAGAACGGUCACUGUGCUAAUCAGCAGUGAAUUGACGGUACCUGCAAAGGAAGCACCGGCUCACUCCGUGCCAGCAGCCGCGGUAAUACGGAGGGUGCGUGCGUUAAUCGGAAUUACUGGGCGUAAAGGGCUCGUAGGCGGUAUGUCAAGUCAAGGGUUAAAUCCCCGCCCUCAACGUGGGAACUGCCUUUGAAACUGGCAGACUGGAGUGUGUGAGAGGAUAGUGGAAUUCCAGGUGUAGCCGUGAAAUCCGUAGAUAUCUGGAGGAACAUCAGUGGCGAAGGCGACUCUCUGGCACAUAACUGACGCUGAGGCGCGAAAGCGUGGGUAGCAAACAGGAUUAGAUACCCGAGUAGUC
RNAcentral lists this ribosomal RNA (465 nucleotides) under uncultured bacterium. Its description in RNAcentral is "partial 16S ribosomal RNA". It matches the Rfam family "Bacterial small subunit ribosomal RNA", at positions 338 to 795 of the family's 1533-position model. The record is from RNAcentral.